AAUUCAGGUUCAAGAACCAACAUGGCGUUCUUCCCUGCAAAGAACAAUAACAACAACAACAGUUCAAGGCUUGUUGUGAGGGCAGCUGAGGAAGGUGCAGCACCACCAGCCACCACCGAAGCACCAGCAGCAACUGAAGCUCCAAAGCCUAAGCCACCACCAAUUGGUCCCAAGAGAGGAACUAAGGUUAGUUAUCAGUAUUAUUUGAUAAAGAUUUAAACGAAGAUCAUAACUUUUUAACUUUUUUUUCUUGGAAAAGAAGAGAAGAAUUUAAAUCAAUGUAAUAAGUAACAUUAAGAUGAGAAUUACCGAUAAAUGUCUCUAAAUAUACAGGUGAAGAUUCUCAGGAGGGAAUCCUACUGGUACAAUGGCAUAG
RNAcentral lists this long non-coding RNA (376 nucleotides) under Jatropha curcas. RNAcentral describes it as "long non-coding RNA (JCUR_LNC002690)". The record is from RNAcentral. Lineage: Eukaryota; Viridiplantae; Streptophyta; Magnoliopsida; Malpighiales; Euphorbiaceae.